RNAcentral lists this ribosomal RNA (253 nucleotides) under uncultured bacterium. Its description in RNAcentral is "partial 16S ribosomal RNA". It matches the Rfam family "Bacterial small subunit ribosomal RNA", at positions 524 to 776 of the family's 1533-position model. The record is from RNAcentral.
UACGUAGGGUGCGAGCGUUAAUCGGAAUUACUGGGCGUAAAGCGUGCGCAGGCGGUUUUGUAAGCCCGAUGUGAAAGCCCCGGGCUCAACCUGGGAAUGGCAUUUGGGACUGCAAGGCUUGAGUGCGGCAGAGGAGACUGGAAUUCCUGGUGUAGCAGUGAAAUGCGUAGAUAUCAGGAGGAAUACCGAUGGCGAAGGCAGGUCUCUGGGCGGACGCUGACGCUCAUGCACGAAAGCGUGGGGAGCAAACAGG